RNAcentral lists this long non-coding RNA (230 nucleotides) under Brassica napus (rape). RNAcentral's name for it is "long non-coding RNA (BNAP_LNC023333)". Lineage: Eukaryota; Viridiplantae; Streptophyta; Magnoliopsida; Brassicales; Brassicaceae. The record is from RNAcentral.
UGUAGUAGAAAUAAGAUCAGUUCGACAAGACAACCAUCAUAAGUGUAUGGAAGCAUCUAUGCCAAACUGCCAGUCAAUAACGAAUUAUGGACAUCCUCAUUUGGGAAGAAUAUGGUUCGGUUGGUCAGAAAAGGUAAUGGUAAGACUAUCUCCAAUGUAUUUUGCUAUUUUUUCUCUUAAAUAGAGGAAUUUUAUAAAAGAUAUAAUAUUUGCCCUAAUGUAUUUUUCUA